Pyrus x bretschneideri (Chinese white pear) is the source of this 118-nucleotide small nuclear RNA. RefSeq annotates it as U5 spliceosomal RNA. The record is from RefSeq and is a predicted model, not a curated record. NCBI's taxonomy places the organism in Eukaryota, Viridiplantae, Streptophyta, Magnoliopsida, Rosales, Rosaceae. The transcript has a single exon.
CAGCCGGGUGGUGAGUACAGAACGAACUUUUCUUUCACUUUUUACUAAAGAAUACCGUGUGCGCACCACAUUAAGUGGCAUGUGCCAAUUUUUUGGAGGGUCUCUCACAAAAGAAGCC